Molecule: non-coding RNA, 266 nt
Organism: Ceratotherium simum simum (southern white rhinoceros)
Lineage: Eukaryota; Metazoa; Chordata; Mammalia; Perissodactyla; Rhinocerotidae
Source: RefSeq, a predicted model, not a curated record
UAACCAAGCUAAUUGCCAAAGUUUAUUUAAAGAUUAUAGGUUAGUUUUCUUUUUUUUCCCCUUUUUUGAGGGGGUAUGAUAAUUAAGGUGCUAAUAUUUACUUUACACAAAUCAACACUAAAAGCAUUUAUUUUUAAUAUAUCCUUUCCCUGCUUUGGCCUGCUUAAAGGUAUAGAUUGGGAAGAGGAAAGAGGGCACUGGAGUAAAAGGGGAAAAAAAAGCAAUGCUUAUGAGUGUAUGACACCCAGAGACUGGGGUUGUGGCUA